UCCUCCCUGACUGUUCCACCUGCCUGCAGUCUGAUUGCAGCAAUGAGAAUCAGCUGCCGUAAUUGGCUCACACCAGUCACCUGUUUGCAAUUCCACCUCCCAGCAUAUAAGCCAGCUCUGUCAUUCACUCCCUGCUCCACCACGGACGCGCACAUCCUGCGUCGACUCGUGACCACCAGAGCUUCUUGGACACGACGCUGCCCUCGUACCCCUGCCGGUUCCUGUUUGGGUUUCCUACCUACCCCUUCAGCUGAGUUUCUUCCCGUGGCCCUUCCUCCCUGACUGUUCCACCUGCCUGCAGUCUGAUUGCAGCAAUGAGAAUCAGCUGCCGUAAUUGGCUCACACCAGUCACCUGUUUGCAAUUCCACCUCCCAGCAUAUAAGCCAGCUCUGUCAUUCACUCCCUGCUCCACCACGGACGCGCACAUCCUGCGUCGACUCGUGACCACCAGAGCUUCUUGGACACGACGCUGCCCUCGUACCCCUGCCGGUUCCUGUUUGGGUUUCCUACCUACCCCUUCAGCUGAGUUUCUUCCCGUGACCAUCUGCUACAAAGCAUUACCGGGUAACAAAUACACCUGAUGAAGAUCAGAAAUAUUCAAGCAGAAACCUUCAGCUUCCACGAAGGUGGAAAUCAUUCUGCCAUGAAGACCUAACAACCUUCAAAGACAAUUUGAAAAUGGGAAGAAGCGCUGCGUCACUCUGCGAAGCGCUGCGUCACUCUGCGAAGCGCUGCGUCACUCAACUCAACUCAACUCAACUCAACUCAACUCAACUCAACUCAACUCAACUCAACUCAACUCAACUCAACUCAACUCAACUCAACUCAACUCAACUCAACUCAACUCAACUCAACUCAACUCAACUCAACUCAACUCAACUC
This is a long non-coding RNA of Amphiprion ocellaris (clown anemonefish), 882 nucleotides long. RefSeq lists it as uncharacterized. The transcript has 4 exons. The record is from RefSeq and is a predicted model, not a curated record. Lineage: Eukaryota; Metazoa; Chordata; Actinopteri; Pomacentridae.